GACAGCAUAGCAUAGUGGUUUGAGCGUCGGACUAUGACUCUGGAGGCCAGGGUUUGAUUCCCUGCUCUGCCA
Molecule: non-coding RNA, 72 nt
Organism: Phrynosoma platyrhinos (Desert horned lizard)
Lineage: Eukaryota; Metazoa; Chordata; Lepidosauria; Squamata; Phrynosomatidae
Source: the annotation of a GenBank genome assembly